Molecule: ribosomal RNA, 526 nt
Filed under: uncultured bacterium
Lineage: Bacteria
Description: bacterial SSU rRNA
Rfam family: Bacterial small subunit ribosomal RNA
Source: RNAcentral
UGGGGAAUCUUGGACAAUGGGGGCAACCCUGAUCCAGCCAUGCCGCGUGAGUGAUGAAGGCCUUAGGGUCGUAAAGCUCUUUCGCCUGUGAAGAUAAUGACGGUAGCAGGUAAAGAAACCCCGGCUAACUCCGUGCCAGCAGCCGCGGUAAUACGGAGGGGGUUAGCGUUGUUCGGAAUUACUGGGCGUAAAGCGCACGUAGGCGGACCAGAAAGUUGGGGGUGAAAUCCCGGGGGCUCAACCCCGGAACUGCCUCCAAAACUAUUGGUCUAGAGUUCGAGAGAGGUGAGUGGAAUUCCAAGUGUAGAGGUGAAAUUCGUAGAUAUUUGGAGGAACACCAGUGGCGAAGGCGGCUCACUGGCUCGAUACUGACGCUGAGGUGCGAAAAGUGUGGGGAGCAAAACAGGAUUAGAUACCCUGGUAGUCCACACCGUAAAACGAUGAAUGCCAGUCGUCGGGUAGCAUGCUAUUCGGUGACACACCUAACGGAUUAAGCAUUCCGCCUGGGGAGUACGGUCGCAAGGUU